This 743-nucleotide long non-coding RNA is filed under the name Homo sapiens (human). Its description in RNAcentral is "HSALNT0264984". The record is from RNAcentral. Lineage: Eukaryota; Metazoa; Chordata; Mammalia; Primates; Hominidae.
GGAUAAGAUAUAAAUCCAUAUUGAUAUAAGUAAAUAACUGGAUACAAAUAAAUGGGGAGACAGAACAGCUUUGACAGAAGAAUUCUAAUUAAUGGAUUUAGAAUGAAAGGGGGAAAAAGAACUUUGUCAUUUGGUAAACAGCACAGUAAUAACUAUUGCAGAUAGGUUCCACAGAUAUAUGCUAAAAUUAGUGGCUGAAAGUUUGAAGAGAAAUAGGAUAUUUGUAUAAUCUCAAAGUAUCUCCCUCAAGAUAUUUAUUAAUUAUAAAGGGAAAUGUAGUGACUUUACAAUGGAGAAGCUCAGAAGACACCCCCUUAACCAAGUGAUCAAGAUCAAGGUUAAUAUCGCCAGUAAAAAGACAUAACAAUAUCAUGAACUCAUUGAUAUGUUGAAGGACACAGCAUCACAUCUGAGGUAUUCUAACCAGAAGUGAAAAACUCGUUCUAAUCAUGAAAAAACAUCGGACAAACCAAAACUGAGGGAUACCCUUCAAAAGCGCCAAGUUCGUGAAAGAUGAGAAAAGACAGAGGAUCUGUCACAGAUUGGAGGAGGUUAAAGAUCCAUGACAACUAAAGGCAAUGUGGAAACCUCAGUUGGAUCCUGGACCAGAAAAAGUACAUUGGUGGAAAAACUGGCAAAAUUUAAUUAAAGUCUGUAGUUUAUAGUAUUGUGUCAAUGUUAAUUUCCUGCUUUUGAUGAUUGUACUAUCAUUUUCUAAGAUGUUAACAUUAGAGAAAGCUGGG